UACGAAGGGGGCUAGCGUUGCUCGGAAUCACUGGGCGUAAAGGGUGCGUAGGCGGGGUUUUAAGUCAGGGGUGAAAUCCUGGAGCUCAACUCCAGAACUGCCUUUGAGACUGAGUGGCUUGAGUACGGGAGAGGUGAGUGGAAUUCCCAGUGUAGAGGUGAAAUUCGUAGAUAUUGGGAAGAACACCGGUGGCGAAGGCGGCUCACUGGCCCGUAACUGACGCUCAUGCACGACAGCGUGGGGAUCAAACAGG
This 253-nucleotide ribosomal RNA is filed under the name uncultured bacterium. RNAcentral describes it as "partial 16S ribosomal RNA". It matches the Rfam family "Bacterial small subunit ribosomal RNA", at positions 524 to 776 of the family's 1533-position model. The record is from RNAcentral.